Molecule: ribosomal RNA, 1955 nt
Filed under: SAR86 cluster bacterium BACL1 MAG-120820-bin45
Lineage: Bacteria; Pseudomonadati; Pseudomonadota; Gammaproteobacteria
Description: bacterial LSU rRNA
Rfam family: Bacterial large subunit ribosomal RNA
Source: RNAcentral
GUUAUAUGAUCAAGUAAUUAAGAGCACAAGGCGGAUGCCUUGGCAGCUGAAGGCGAUGAAGGACGUAGUAACUUGCGAUAAGCUUCGGGGAGGUGGUAAACAACCUUUGAUCCGGAGAUUUCCGAAUGGGGGAACCCAGUGUGCAUAAGCACAUUAUCUUAUACUGAAUACAUAGGUAUAUGAAGCAAACCUAGGGAACUGAAACAUCUAAGUACCUAGAGGAAAAGAAAUCAAUAGAGAUUCCGGUAGUAGCGGCGAGCGAAACCGGACCAGCCCUUAAGCUUUUUUAAGAUUAGCAAAACAGACUGGAAAGUCUGGCCAUAGUAGGUGAUAGCCCUGUAUGCGAAAAUCUUUUAAGAGUGAAAUCGAGUAGGUCGGAACACGUGAAAUUCUGACUGAAUAUGGGGGGACCAUCCUCCAAGGCUAAAUACUCUCAGCUGACCGAUAGUGAACUAGUACCGUGAGGGAAAGGCGAAAAGAACCCCGGCGAGGGGAGUGAAAUAGAACCUGAAACCUUGUGCUUACAAGCAGUCGGAGCAGACUUGUUCUGUGACGGCGUACCUUUUGUAUAAUGGGUCAACGACUUAAUUUCAGUAGCAAGCUUAACCGCAUAGGGGAGGCGUAGGGAAACCGAGUCUUAAUAGGGCGCUCAGUUGCUGGAAUUAGACCCGAAACCGGGUGAUCUAUCCAUGGCCAGGGUGAAGGUUAGGUAACACUGACUGGAGGCCCGAACCCACUUAUGUUGAAAAAUGAGGGGAUGAGCUGUGGAUAGGAGUGAAAGGCUAAUCAAACCCGGAGAUAGCUGGUUCUCUUCGAAAACUAUUUAGGUAGUGCCUCAUGUAUUACCAUUGGGGGUAGAGCACUGUUUCGGCUAGGGGGUCAUCCCGACUUACCAACCCGAUGCAAACUCCGAAUACCAAUGAGUACGAGCAUGGGAGACAGACUGCGGGUGCUAACGUCCGUAGUCGAGAGGGAAACAACCCAGACCGUCAGCUAAGGUCCCAAAUUAUUAUUAAGUGGGAAACAAUGUGGGAAGGCACAAACAGCUAGGAGGUUGGCUUAGAAGCAGCCAUCCUUUAAAGAAAGCGUAAUAGCUCACUAGUCGAGUCGGCCUGCGUGGAAGAUAUAACGGGGCUAAAUAAUAAACCGAAGCUACGGAUCUUAAAUUUAUUUAAGAUGGUAGAAGAGCGUUCUGUAAGCGGUUGAAGGUGUGCUGUAAGGCAUGCUGGACGUAUCAGAAGUGCGAAUGUUGACAUGAGUAACGAUCAAAGAGGUGAAAAACCUCUUCGCCGAAAAUCCAAGGUUUCCUGUCCAACGCUAAUCGUGGCAGGGUGAGUCGGCUCCUAAGGCGAGGGCGAAAGCCGUAGUCGAUGGAAAACAGGUUAAUAUUCCUGUACUUCUUAUAAUUGUGAUGGGGUGACGGAGAAGGUUAGGCUAGCACGGCGACGGUUGUCCGUGUUUAAGGUUGUAGGCUGAGAUUUUAGGUAAAUCCGGAAUCUCUUAAGGCUGAGAACUGAUGACUACCACUCUUCUGAGUGGCGGUAGUUGAUACCAUGCUUCCAGGAAAAUCCUCUAAACUUCAGAUUAUAAGAAACCGUACCCCAAACCAACACAGGUGGAUAAGCUGAGAAGGCUAAGGUGUUUGAGAGAACUAUGGUGAAGGAACUAGGCAAAAUGGUACCGUAACUUCGGGAGAAGGUACGCCGCGUCCGGUGAUGAGACUUGCUCUCUGAAGCUAGACACGGUUGAAAAUACUAGGUGGCUGCGACUGUUUACUAAAAACACAGCACUCUGCAAAAUCGUAAGAUGACGUAUAGGGUGUGACGCCUGCCCGGUGCCGGAAGGUUAAUUGAUGGGGUUAGCUUAGGCGAAGCUCUUGAUCGAAGCCCCGGUAAACGGCGGCCGUAACUAUAACGGUCCUAAGGUAGCGAAAUUCCUUGUCGGGUAAGUUCCGA